This 565-nucleotide ribosomal RNA is filed under the name uncultured beta proteobacterium. RNAcentral describes it as "bacterial SSU rRNA". It matches the Rfam family "Bacterial small subunit ribosomal RNA", at positions 337 to 873 of the family's 1533-position model. Lineage: Bacteria; Pseudomonadati; Pseudomonadota; Betaproteobacteria. The record is from RNAcentral.
UCCUACGGGAGGCAGCAGUGGGGAAUUUUGGACAAUGGGCGCAAGCCUGAUCCAGCAAUGCCGCGUGAGUGAAGAAGGCCUUCGGGUUGUAAAGCUCUUUUGUCAGGGAAGAAACGGUAGAGGCUAAUAUCCUUUGCUAAUGACGGUACCUGAAGAAUAAGCACCGGCUAACUACGUGCCAGCAGCCGCGGUAAUACGUAGGGUGCAAGCGUUAAUCGGAAUUACUGGGCGUAAAGCGUGCGCAGGCGGUUUUGUAAGUCUGACGUGAAAUCCCCGGGCUCAACCUGGGAAUUGCGUUGGAGACUGCAAGGCUAGAAUCUGGCAGAGGGGGGUAGAAUUCCACGUGUAGCAGUGAAAUGCGUAGAGAUGUGGAGGAACACCGAUGGCGAAGGCAGCCCCCUGGGUCAAGAUUGACGCUCAUGCACGAAAGCGUGGGGAGCAAACAGGAUUAGAUACCCUGGUAGUCCACGCCCUAAACGAUGUCUACGUAGUUGUCGGGUUUUAAUUAACUUGGUAACGCAGCUAACGCGUGAAGUAGACCGCCUGGCCACUACGAACCAUGGCG